GGCUGUUGCCCCUCCUGCCCCCGCCCCCUCCGGAGGAGACAGCUGACUAGCAGCUGCCCAGCUGUCAAGGUCAGGCAAGUGAGUGCGAGGGGCCGAGGACCGGGGCGGGGAGACGCUCCUCCACCCUGAUCGCCUGCCAGGACCCAGUGAGGCUCACUCCCCUGUGGCCUAGUGCAGGGCGUGGGCCUGGCCAGGUUCCCCGCCCGGGGUCCUGGGGAGCGCGUGGGGAGGAGGAGGGGCAGAAGGGGGCGUGGUCCAGCAGGGAGUUUAUUUAAUGAUGUAAUUUAUUGUUGAGUUUCUCUGGAAGCUGUGACUGGAAUAAACCCCCCCCCCUCCCCGUGUGGCACCGCUGAGUCUUCUGUGGGCCGGGAAGGGGGAAGGUAGGAGGGUGAGGGCCCUGCGGGAGUCUCCCUGGUGGGCGGAGCUGGGUGGGUGCGGCCUCAUGUGCCGGCCGGUCUAUGGCCACCCACCGGUCAGGAGGGCAUCCCGGUGGAGCCGCUGUUUCUGCAGAGGUCCCCAACUGCGAGGGUGCUCACGCGUGUCUGUGUGUGUGUGGGGGGGUGUUUUUUUAAGUUUUUUUUGUUUUGUUUUUGAAGGGGUGAGGUGGGGUGGGAGAGGGGAGAGAGCUGUCACAAAGAAGGGGAAGGGUAUUCAGGAAUGGCUCCAGGACAUGUCCCUUUACUCAGCAAAGAGCAACUCAAAAGAGCAAUGAUGCUGGUGAAUACAGAAUGCGGUAUGGCACUCACUGAUACCGUCACCUGAGGGAGGGGAGGGGAGAGACCGAGGACGGCUUCAAGAAACAAGACUGUGUGAGUAGAGAUUAUAAAAAAUUAACCCCGCCUCCCCAGUUGGCCUGAUUACCCCUGAUCCUUCCAUGUAAUACAGUAAUUCCUCCCCUGGAGACCAGGGGCUUGGCACUGUCAUGGUGGCCAAAGUGGGAGGGACCGUAGGAAAGAAGAGAAUUAAGGGACGUGGGCCCUCGAGAAAGCCGUACCCUUGGCCUCUCCCUGGAAACUCUCAGCAGGGCUAAGGCCGCCUACCGCCCAUGGUACCUCUGGGCAGAGACCAGCCCAAGAGUAGGCUCUCCAAAGAGCUCUGCCUGCUUAGGGCCCUCUGGAGAGUUGGGCAAGGCAGCACAAGCUUGGGAUGAUGGGCAUUUCUGGGAUCCCUGUGAUCUCCUCCCUUCCACAUUCUUCUCCAUCUUCCUCUCCCGCUGGCUCCUGCUCCCUCCCACCCUCCCCGGCUCUCUCCAUUCC
This 1256-nucleotide long non-coding RNA is filed under the name Canis lupus familiaris (dog). Its description in RNAcentral is "lncRNA (ENSCAFG00000057756.1)". Lineage: Eukaryota; Metazoa; Chordata; Mammalia; Carnivora; Canidae. The record is from RNAcentral.